Molecule: non-coding RNA, 212 nt
Filed under: Osedax symbiont Rs1
Lineage: Bacteria; Pseudomonadati; Pseudomonadota; Gammaproteobacteria; Oceanospirillales; Oceanospirillaceae
Source: RNAcentral
UAAAUUGCGCCCGUAGAAGGUUGUUAAGUGUGAUACUUAACAUUAAAAGGGAAUACGGUGGAACUGAAUUUUCAGUCAAAUCCGUAGCUGCCCCCGCAACUGUAAACAUGAAGAUAAUCACAGCAAAUACCACUGGAUAAACGAUAUCUGGGAAGGUUUGUGAUUGUUGUUGAUAUGUGAGCCAGGAGACCUGCCGCUGCAAACUAACCACU